UAGCUCUUCCGAGCGAGUUUU
Caenorhabditis elegans is the source of this 21-nucleotide non-coding RNA. NCBI's taxonomy places the organism in Eukaryota, Metazoa, Nematoda, Chromadorea, Rhabditida, Rhabditidae. The record is from Ensembl.